GAGAGGGUGACCGGCCACAUUGGGACUGAGACACGGCCCAAACUCCUACGGGAGGCAGCAGUGGGGAAUAUUGCACAAUGGGGGAAACCCUGAUGCAGCGACGCCGCGUGAGCGAUGAAGUAUUUCGGUAUGUAAAGCUCUAUCAGCAGGGAAGAAAAUGACGGUACCUGACUAAGAAGCACCGGCUAAAUACGUGCCAGCAGCCGCG
RNAcentral lists this ribosomal RNA (208 nucleotides) under uncultured Lachnospiraceae bacterium. Its description in RNAcentral is "partial 16S ribosomal RNA". It matches the Rfam family "Bacterial small subunit ribosomal RNA", at positions 294 to 519 of the family's 1533-position model. Lineage: Bacteria; Bacillati; Bacillota; Clostridia; Lachnospirales; Lachnospiraceae. The record is from RNAcentral.